UACGGAGGGUGCGAGCGUUGUCCGGAAUUAUUGGGCGUAAAGGGCUCGUAGGCGGUUUGUCGCGUCGGGAGUGAAAACUCAGGGCUUAACCCUGAGCCUGCUUCCGAUACGGGCAGACUAGAGGUAUGCAGGGGAGAACGGAAUUCCUGGUGUAGCGGUGAAAUGCGCAGAUAUCAGGAGGAACACCGGUGGCGAAGGCGGUUCUCUGGGCAUUACCUGACGCUGAGGAGCGAAAGUGUGGGGAGCGAACAGG
Molecule: ribosomal RNA, 253 nt
Filed under: uncultured bacterium
Lineage: Bacteria
Description: partial 16S ribosomal RNA
Rfam family: Bacterial small subunit ribosomal RNA
Source: RNAcentral